This is a long non-coding RNA of Zootermopsis nevadensis, 3642 nucleotides long. RefSeq lists it as uncharacterized. The record is from RefSeq and is a predicted model, not a curated record. Lineage: Eukaryota; Metazoa; Arthropoda; Insecta; Blattodea; Termopsidae.
GGUACAUCAAUUUGAAUUUAUAAAAAUAAUAUUAGUCUAUUUGGAAAUAAGUAAAAUGAAAGCAUCUUUUUCUUUGUAACUAUUAAUCAAAAAUGGAACUUUUCAAGUCUAGUAGUAACUAUUUGCAAAACCUGCUUUCACAAUCAGUAAUUUUGUAUGAUGUCCUCUGAGAGUGCUAUGAGACUUGUAUGAUUCUUAGAAUAAAAAGCUGUCAUUUUUCUAAACACCAUUAAGUGGCUGCUUCCUGUAGUGGAGAAACAUUGUGUUUUCUUAGAGGCAGGAUUUGAAUAUGUACAUAUUAUUUUGAUGAGAAUCGGCUUCAAAAGAAUAACAAUUAAUUUAAAACUCAAGGACAUCCAGACGUGAAAGAAUAGUCGAUUAAAUCGAACGUGUUCUAAGUGAGGCCAUGCUCGUAUUUGAAUUUAGAAUUUACUUCCGGUAAUUAUUAAUUUAUUAACAGUUUAUAUCAUUACUCAACAGAGGAUUAUCAAAUUAAUUUUUACCAUGUCCAAUUAUUUGAAUCAAUAUUCAAACGACUAAAUUUUGAAACGUCGGAUUCAAAAAUGAAGCUGAAAAAUAUGAACAAAUGCAACGCAAAACUCGUUUUGAAGACUGCAUAAUGGUUUGCUUUAGUCAUACACUCAAUAUAUUGCUUAAUGACGACAAUAAGUAUUGAGUGACUUUUGUUUCCAUUGAGGAGAUAUGAAUUUCUUUUGAAAAAGCAAAAUUUUAGCCGAAAUUUGGAAAUUCCAAGUCAUGCUGACAGUAUGGUAAGGUGUGGAAAGACAAUUGAAUUGGCAGGGGGGAAUGAGGGUGCAGUAGUGGUGACGUAACAGCGAAAUGACAGAAGUUGGGUUGGGCGAGUGUAAAGCUGGAUCGAUCGAGCGGUGGUCGGGCAUAGACACUGCUCUCCUCUACCCCACCCACAUAUCAAUGGUAUGUGUGCCUGCAUAACCCUCUUACACCACUCCUUUUUUUAAAAAAAACCUCUUCUAGCCAUAUUUAUUCUUCUUUUCCCUUUCCCACAUACCUUUCUCAUGUAACAAAACUUGUUUCUGUAUUAUCUGCUACUAACAAGAAUAUCGGCAGUGCAGUUAGCAUCCCUUCAACAGAAUCUUCGGGCACAUUGGUGGCGGUGCUAUUGUGUAUUCAGUCAGUGCGCGCGCGUGUGUGUGUGUGAAAUCAAAUAUCACGGAAACAAGAAUUACUAUAGUAAUUUUGUGGCGUGAACACUGGUUUAGACGGAUUUGCUCUAUGGCUAAACUGUUCUAUGUCCGAUUAUUAUUUCAAUAAAUAAUUUCGGUUCAUCUGUGAAAGAAGAUGGUGAACUUACCUUCGAACAUGGCGUGGGGCUGAAAACAUCCUUCAGUCCUGACCACAGACAAAACAGGCACUUGCUGAAAACACCUAAGGUCAAGAUUUUCAGUGCUUUGCUCUUCAGAACUCAAGGUAAACAUCCCAAGAAGAUUUUGAACCCAGCAGCGACUUACCGACUGUUGCCACACUAACGAAAUAAUUGACAUUGAGAGGCCUCAUCUUGAUCGAACAUUGUUGAGAGACUUUAAUUUAAUUCGAAAGCGAUCCAUAACUAUUUGGACACAGGAGGGAUUAGAUGAGCGGCCUCUGCAGGUUACUACAUAAGAAGGCUACGUACAGUAUCUGCAAAAAGAUUGCAUGAUUCAGAUUCGUCCAGUUGGGAGCAACCAUCAGCUUUUCAAAGGUUCUGAACGACACGUGAAGCAAUAAGAAGUAAUGCUCUACAUCUACCCUGUAGAUCCGAAUUUGUUUGACAUUGGGCGACAAAUUCGGUUCUAGAGAGGUUUGUGUGGUGCAUACAAAGCGACGUUCUAAAUUAGGCUACUUGUUAAUUGGUAAUAAUAUUUAUGUUACUAAUCAUCAAUAUGCAACCACUAAAUGUUGCCAAGUUCAGUCUCUGAUACAUUCACUACUGACAAGUGACAUAACGAAUAUACCCUGUCCAGCACUAUACAUUUUAUAUUGUUAAAUAAGUCUUAGCACUAACAUGAUUUGGCUUAAUUUAAAUUGUUUCGAAUUGUUUAUUCUAAUUGUAAGAAACAGAAAUUGUACAAUUCAAGUAGUAGUCUAGUAUUAUCCUACAAGUGAAAUUUCACACAUCAUUAUCUUAGCAUACAUUCCUUAAGGAAAAAGGCGUAUGGUAUCUUAAUCAAUGUACGUCUAUCCCCCGCAACAAAUUUGUAUCUACUGACAGAUUUUCACAAAACGUAUUAUGAACAUAACGAGAGGCAGAGUCCCCUAAGUAAGUCAUUCAAUGCUGUUUUUCUUGUAGACUGUCCUCGUCGUAAGUUUUUAGAAAUAAAGCCAUGACGUUUUAAGGACUGGUUCUGUCCCGGUUUUGAGAUAAUAAAAGAAACCUACAAUUUGGGAUCUUCCAGACUACCGAUUGGGAUUAGCCCUUUCUAGAGGACCCCAUUAGUUGCAAUCCAUGAUCAUGAAGAAAACCCAAGAGAAAUCCAAAUGCAGAAUAACGAAAUACAUUGUUUAAAUUCAAACUACAAUUAAUUAAAUUAACAAUACAUUCUAGACAAUUUAACAAUAUGUCAACCAAAUAAUUUGCUAGUGUUGCUGAUAAUGAGUGAACGAAUUAAAUAACGAUGUGAUAUAAAUGUAAGUGAAAACGCAAACAGCAUUGGUAAGACUGUUUUACCUAAAAUAUAUUCCACAUUGUCUGUGUGUUGAGGUCCUAGUCUGCUACUUGCCUCAGCUGUCUGUGGACAAUCGCGAAGAGGGUACCAGGCACCCACUUUAAACCGAGUGCCUUUCAAACAAGACCGAACUAUUUAACCUUUAUAUGGCAUGCACAUCACAUAGAAUCAGAGUCCUAGUAUAGGCUUCUAUACAGAGUUUCGAGGGGGGGGGGGAACUCAGCUCAUAGAAGAGAGUCCUUCCUGUGAAGCUGAUAGUAUCUUAGUGGAUGAACGAGAUAUCCUGUUUUCUGUAGAACCCGAACGUCUACUGCCCACCACUGUAACCUAUCCAGAUUCCAGCUCAUACCCUUACACUCUGUUACACCGCAAAAACGUUUUAUCUAUGCCUUGGUCCCGUUGACCGACCAAAAUUUCGUAUGAAUUUUAUUUGUGUACUGUAUGGCUCUGUCCUUGACUUUAUCACCCUAAUAAUGCAUGGUGAAGGGUACAAAUUAUGUAGCCCCUUGUUAUGUAAUUUUUUAAUCUGGUUAUAUAGUCUCUUACUUCCACACAUUCUUCUUCGUCGUGUGUUCUUUAGAUUGUUAUGUACAAAAAACUCUCCAUUUUAUAUACAGUGAACAUAAGUUUAGGAGAAGAUGUAAAAUUACAAUAAGAAAAUGACAUGAUAUGUACUCAGGAAUGAUUAUUCGUCGUUUAUCGCUUUAUCAUCAAUAUAUUAAUAAAAUGAGUGGAUCUCCAUAUCAAAUCCUUGGUUAUCCUUAGAUUCUUUUGUUAUUUUAGCGAAGAACAAGCACUACGGAACAGGAAGAAAGCACGAAAGAAACUUCAGGUGAGUGAGCAUGAACAUCACUGACUUGUUUAGAAUGCCUUUGCUGUGAACAUGAAAAAAUGUAUGAUACGAUACUAGCAAAUAAACAUGCAUUGACAUAUUUAAAACAAUUAGCAUAGAAUUAAA